CAAGAGGAUUAUAUGGGCUUGCUGGCUGAGUGCCAUCCCAUCACACACAUUCUCUUUCUAUGUCUCUGUAGUUUUUAUUUUGUUUUAUUUUAUUUUCCUUUUCCUUUUUCCAGAGUAUCCAUCCUUCUGAUUCUUGUUUCUCCUUUCAUUGAGCAAUAAUGGUGCUGCAAAUAACAAGAACGACCCAAUAAAAAAGGAAAUGUAAAUAUUAAAAGAAAAGGAAAGAAUGACAAGUUAUGCCACUGUAAUGCAGAAUGAGAAUACAAUAAAAUAAGAUUUCUGAGAACAUAUCUGAAUUACACACAUACAGAUAUGUAAAGUUAAUAAAAAUGAAAGAAGAAUAAACAUAUGUAGUUAUUUUUAUUUAUUUAUUCAAUAGUUAGUUUGUUUUUGUUUAUUUAUUUGUUUAUUUUGGAAUAUUUCAACCUCUUGGUAUCCUGUAUUGCAAUUAAUUUAUAGAGCAUAUGUCAUGCCUAGAUCAGCAUUGCCAGAUUGAACUGAUCCAUCUCACACACAUGCAUACUUGUUCAUUCACAUGUGGUCAGUAGUUGAAGUCUGUUGGCAAGGAAUUGCUUGAAAAUCCUUUGCCUUGUGCAAAAUUUAAAAUUUUAUUUAUUUAUUGUGUAGUUGGUUGAAAGUGUGAAAUGGAAAAAAACAAUGUUCUUUCAUUUGAAAAUGUCAAUGGUUUUGGAAAAAGAAAAAUAAGAAAACUUUAUGGCUUGCCUGGUAUAAACUUAAUUUCCUGAAUUUGUUUCCAGAAUCCUUUACAAAAUUCAAAAAGUAAAACUUAUAAAACUGAUUUUCCAAAGCUGAAAAUUGCAAAAAGCACAAAUCCUUG
This 838-nucleotide long non-coding RNA is filed under the name Physcomitrium patens. Its description in RNAcentral is "long non-coding RNA (PPAT_LNC004017)". The record is from RNAcentral. Lineage: Eukaryota; Viridiplantae; Streptophyta; Bryopsida; Funariales; Funariaceae.